UUUCCCUUCUGGGGCUGGAAGAAGAUUUCUCUCUCCCGGCCCUUGUGGGGCUACAGCCAUGGUGUGCGUUUCUCUUCUCCCAUUGCUGAUGGUGUUGCUGAUGGGAUCCUCCGUGGUCCCUGGAGCUGGAGGAGGGAAGAAGCCCCCACCAGCCCCCCAUUUCCUGCACCAGCACAAGUCCGAGUGCCGCUUCAGCAACGGGACGCAGCAGGUGCGCUUCCUCGACAGGCACUUCUACGGGCGGCAGGAGAUCGUGCGCUUCGACAGCGCCCGCGGGGACUUCGAGGCCGUCACGCCGCUGGGGGAGCCCGACGCCCAGUACUUGAACAGCCAGGAGGAGAUUCUGCAGUACCAGCGGACCGGGGUGGAUCGCUUCUGCCGCCACAACUACGACAACAUCUACGGACCUUUUUCCCACCGGCGGCGGGUUCAGCCCUCCGUCUCCAUCUCCCCCACCAAGGAAGACCCCCUGUCCCCCCACACCCUCCUGCUCUGCACUGCAGCCAGUUUCUAUCCCCUGGAGAUCGAGAUCCAGUGGCUGAAGAACGGGCAGGAGCAGAAGGAAGGGGUCUUCUACGGGGAGGAGCUCCGGAACGGGGACUGGACCUACCAGACCCAGGUGAUGCUGGAGACGAAGCCGGAGCACGGAGACGUCUACACCUGCCAGGUGGAGCACGCCAGCCUGGAGGCCCCCAUCACCGUCCAGUGGGAGCCACGGAAGUCAGACUCUGCCAGGAGCAAAGUGUGGACGGGGGCCGUGGGGGCCGUGCUGGGCGUGGUCUUCGUGGCCGUGGGACUCUCCCUCUACCUGAAGAAGAAGAAAGCAGCACCCAUCCAACCACCUGCAGCCCUCAUCGGCUAGACCUUCCACCUCUGAGACCCAACAUGGAAAGAAACUCUUUGCAUAGCUACGUCUUUCCUUGGAAGAUGCUAAACUGAAGGGGGUGAAAAAGAAGAGACUCCCCAGCCUGUACUUCCUCCUCCUGCUGCGACGCCCCUGUUCCUGUUUCUCUUCAUUUGUUUCUGGUUUUUUCUUUUGGGGUGGGUGGGGAAUUCAUCAUGCCAAGUGCUGAGAAGAGCCUUCUCCUUCCCUGGAUUUCUGAUCAGGAGCAGAGAACUGCUCAGGGUCUCUUCCUCCCCUGGCAGGACCAUCACUCCCGGCUCCACUGUCUAAGUUAGUUCAUCCCUAACGGCAUCCUGAAUCCCUGAGACCCGCAAGCGGAUUCCGUUCUAAGCGGAUGGACUGAGAAUGAAAAACGCCUGUUGCCUGUUGCUUGAGUUGCAGGAAAUCACCAGGUUGAGCUGAAGGGCCCUGAAAACAAUCACACACACCCUUUUCAAGGAGGGGCCGUGUAUCUGUCCGGAUCCUCUGCGGAGAAUGCAGAAGGUCCCAGGUUGAACCUCCAGGAGAAGCUCCAGGCAGGGCCGGGCCAGGAGUUGGCGUUUUAUUGGCCUCCAGGUGUUUUCAGCUAUGAUUCGCACAAUCCCUGCCCCUGAUGGCUGGGGCUUAUGGGAGUUGUAGUCCAUCACAUCCGAAGGGCACCACAUCCCCUCCUCCCAGUGCAGACAGUGACCUAGACCGACCAGGGCCUGACUCUGUGGAAGGCAGCUUCCUAUGUGCUAUUGCAGCCUGCAGACCUCCCAGUGUGUUGGACUACAACUCCUAUCAUACCCAGCCAGAACAGCCAUUGGGCAUGAUGGGACUUGUAGCAUAGCACACCUUGAAGGCACCAAGUUGCAAAAGGGUAUGUUUUUGUUUCCAAAAUUCUGAUCAUUGACCCCUUUUCACUUUGAUUAGAGAGGAAUAGUUUUCAGUUUUCAUAUUAGAGGCAAACAUUCUAAUAAAACAAGAAUACUU
This is an RNA transcript of Elgaria multicarinata webbii, 1858 nucleotides long. It is a transcript of the gene named H-2 class II histocompatibility antigen, E-S beta chain-like, with no coding region annotated. Lineage: Eukaryota; Metazoa; Chordata; Lepidosauria; Squamata; Anguidae. The record is from RefSeq and is a predicted model, not a curated record. The transcript is spliced from 7 exons.